CCGGAGAGGGAGCCUGAGAAACGGCUACCAUUUCCAAGGGAAGCAGCAGGCGCGAAAAUUUUCCAAUCCUGACACAGGGAGAAAGUGACAAGAAAUAACAAUGCAGGACCUUACGGUCUCUGCAAUUGGAAUGAGUACAAUUUAAAACUCUUAACGAGUAACAACUGGAGGGCAAGUCUGGUGCCAGCAGCCGCGGUAAUUCCAGCUCCAGUAGCGUAUAUUAAUGUUGUUGCAGUUAAAACGCUCGUAGUUGAACUUCGGGCGAGGGCAUUUGGUCUUGCCUCUGGCGAGUACUGGAUGCGCCGAGUCUUUCUUUUGGGGAAACAGGGUGCUCUUAAUUGGGUGCUCUGAGGAACCAAGACGAUUACCUUGAGAAAAACAGAGUGUUCAAAGCAAGCCGUCGCUUGAAUACAUUAGCAUGGAAUAAUAAAAUAGGAUCUAGGUUCUAUUUUGUUGGUUUUUGGGACCUAGUUCAUGAUGAAUAGGAACAGUCGGGGGCAUUAGUAUUUAGAAGCUAGAGGUGAAAUUCUUGGAUUUUCUAAAGACUAACAACUGCGAAAGCAUUUGCCAAGGAUGUUUUCAUUAAUCAAGGACGAAAGUUGGGGGAGCAAAGACGAUCAGAUACCGUCGUAGUCUCAACUAUAAACGAUGCCGACUAGGGAUCGGUGGAUGUCGUUUUCGACUCCAUCGGCACCUUGAGAGAAAUCAAAGUUUUUGGGUUCUGGGGGGAGUAUAGUCGCAAGACCGAAACUUAACAGAAUUGACGGAAGAACACCACCAGGAGUGGAGCCUGCGGCUUAAUUUGACCCAACACGGGAAAACUCACCAGGUCCAGACAUAACGAGGAUUGACAGAUUGAAAGCUCUUUCAUGAUUUUAUGGGUGGUGGUGCAUGGCCGUUCUUAGUUGGUGGAGUGAUUUGUCUGGUUAAUUCCGAUAACGAACGAGACCUUAACCUGCUAAAUAGCUCAGCUAAGCUUCGGCUUGGCAUGAGCUUCUUAGAGGGACUAUCUGUGACUAACAGAUGGAAGUUUGAGGCAAUAACAGGUCUGUGAUGCCCUUAGAUGUUCUGGGCCGCACGCGCGCUACAAUGAUAAAGGCAGCAAGUGUUCCCUUGGCCGGAAGGUCUGGGUAAUCUUAUGAAACUUUAUCGUGACGGGGAUUGACCAUUGCAAUUAUUGGUCAUGAACGAGGAAUUCCUAGUAAGCGCAAGUCAUCAGCUUGCGUUGAUUACGUCCCUGUUCUUUGUACACACCGCCCGUCGAUACUACCGAUUGAAUGGCUUAGUGAGGCCUCUGGAUUAGUUGCUGCGGCCGCAAGGCUGUCGUGACUGAGAAACUGGUCAAACUUGGUCAUUUAGAGGAAGUAAAAGUCGUAACAAGGUU
RNAcentral lists this ribosomal RNA (1384 nucleotides) under metagenome. RNAcentral's name for it is "SSU rRNA". It matches the Rfam family "Eukaryotic small subunit ribosomal RNA", at positions 383 to 1801 of the family's 1831-position model. The record is from RNAcentral.